RNAcentral lists this ribosomal RNA (480 nucleotides) under uncultured bacterium. RNAcentral's name for it is "partial 16S ribosomal RNA". It matches the Rfam family "Bacterial small subunit ribosomal RNA", at positions 28 to 507 of the family's 1533-position model. The record is from RNAcentral.
GACGAACGCUGGCGGCGCGCUUAACACAUGCAAGUCGAGCGAUGAAACUUUAACAGAACCCUUCGGGGCGAAGAUAAAGUGGAUUAGCGGCGGACGGGUGAGUAACACGUGAGUAACCUGCCUUAGACAUUGGGAUAGCCUCGGGAAACCGGGAUUAAUACCAAAUAAAAUCAUAAUGACACAUGUCAUAACGAUCAAAACUCCGGUGGUCUAAGAUGGACUCGCGUCACAUUAGCUAGUUGGUAGAGUAAAAGCCUACCAAGGCGACGAUGGGUAGCCGGCCUGAGAGGGUGAACGGCCACAUUGGAACUGAGAAACGGUCCAAACUCCUACGGGAGGCAGCAGUGGGGAAUAUUGCACAAUGGAGGGAACUCUGAUGCAGCGACGCCGCGUGAACGAAGAAGGCUUUCGAGUCGUAAAGUUCUUUUAUAUGGGAAGAUAAUGACGGUACCAUAAGAAAAAGCCCCGGCUAACUACGUG